CGCAGUGGGUGACAAGAUAGGCAGACAUCUCAGGAGAGGGCUUUCUGGAAAAAACAGAAUGGGGAAUGCUCUGAAUGUCUUUUCUGCCAAAGAAUUUUGCCUCACCUCCGAAAUAUAGCUGAUUCUCAGGUGGGUGAAAUAACUGAGCAUUUCAGUUCAGUACAGCAUUAAUAUAUUUUCAUGCCCGAGGUUUGCUAACUACCCAGAUGACAUUAGUAGGUGGGAAGUAUCCAAGCCUUGCUAGCUGACUGAGCAAAUGAACAAACGAUUGUUUGAAAUAAAGAAAUACAUACACAAAGUAACACAAAGAGGUUUAGAUUCCUUUACGUGGAAGAUAGAGGAAGAUGCUGAUGGCUGUAGCUUGCAUCAGCUAAUUGGCUAAGGUACAAGAAUCUCACAGAUGAAAUCUUUGAAAUUUGAGCAAGGAUCUGCCUGCUGCACACCUGUGGAAGAGGAAUGAAUAGAGGGGGUGUGUGAACAAUUCUGCUCCAGACUGACUGGCGCCACCAACAAAACAGAAGACAUGCUUGAUCAACAACCCAAAACAAACCAGGUCAAACAACAACCGCAGCUCCCAGGCUAGGCCAAGCAGAGGAAUACACAGCUGCAAGUCCAAGCUAGAAGCUCUCCAGAGAAUGAAAGAGAGACAAGGAGUUUUGAAAAAUGUCCUCUUAGUUGUUCCUCCACCUCUAUUAAAUGCCAAACAGGCACCAGGGCAAGAAAAUUCUGCACCCCAAUCCUAUGCAUAUUUACUUGGAAGCAAGUCACAUGGAGUUAAAUUGGGACUCCACUUCCAAGUAAGGGGGUGGAGAUCACUGCCUUGCUGCCAAAGAAGAAUCCAUUGAAGACAACCAACUUCAUUUCCAUAAUGUAUUAUUCAUUGCUUUUAUAGAAAGGAAGGGAACUCCGAAGAAAUAUGCAAAGGAGGCAGUCUGAUCUAUGAAUCAGUUAAAAGCCUUUAUAGUUAGAUUGAAUGCAACAUUUCUUUUUCUUUAGGCAACAUGAAAAAGUGCAUUUUCUUACAUUUUGUCUAUUAUACCUCCCAAACAUAUUAUUUAACUGAUCCUGACCAUUUAUUAAGCAAUGUGUUCCCAAGAACCUGCCCUCUUCAAGUAAAUAUGUAGAAUUAAACAGAAAAUAUGAUUAAAAGCUACAUGCCAGCCUGAGUCACAAAACCAUUUUAAGCCAGAUGACUCAAAAUGUAAACUAAUGGGAUUAUGUUAGUCUGAACUGAAGUACUCUGGCAAAAUUAGUAGGUGGGCUGCAAGCUACCAUCCUCAUUCAAAAUACGUAUUUUUUUAAAUUUUUUCCAACUUAUUUCAAGUCCUAUUUGAUUUCCAGUAAGGGUACCAAGACCAGAGUGCUUGAAUGAGAAGAACCACAACCUGGUCCAAACUACCUUUACUUCGAAUGAAUAAAUCUUAUUGAUUUCAAUGGGGUUUCCAGAUGCUGAC
This is a long non-coding RNA of Varanus komodoensis (Komodo dragon), 1454 nucleotides long. RefSeq lists it as uncharacterized. The record is from RefSeq and is a predicted model, not a curated record. NCBI's taxonomy places the organism in Eukaryota, Metazoa, Chordata, Lepidosauria, Squamata, Varanidae. The transcript has 3 exons.